CCUACGGGUGGCAGCAGUGGGGAAUAUUGGGCAAUGGGCGCAAGCCUGACCCAGCAACGCCGCGUGAAGGAAGACGGCUUUCGGGUUGUAAACUUCUUUUCUGAGGGACGAAGAAAGUGACGGUACCUCAGGAAUAAGCCUCGGCUAACUACGUGCCAGCAGCCGCGGUAAUACGUAGGUGGCAAGCGUUAUCCGGAUUUAUUGGGUGUAAAGGUCGUGUAGGCGGGAAAGUAAGUCAGAUGUGAAAACUCAGGGCUCAACCCUGAUCCUGCAUUUGAAACUGUCUUUCUUGAGUGCUGGAGAGGCAAUCGGAAUUCGGUGUGUAGCGGUGAAAUGCGUAGAUAUACGGAGGAACACCAGUGGCGAAGGCGGAUUGCUGGACAGUAACUGACGCUGAGGCGCGAAAGCGUGGGGAGCAAACAGGAUUAGAUACCCCAGUAGUC
RNAcentral lists this ribosomal RNA (443 nucleotides) under uncultured bacterium. RNAcentral describes it as "partial 16S ribosomal RNA". It matches the Rfam family "Bacterial small subunit ribosomal RNA", at positions 338 to 795 of the family's 1533-position model. The record is from RNAcentral.